This 606-nucleotide long non-coding RNA is filed under the name Callithrix jacchus (white-tufted-ear marmoset). RNAcentral describes it as "lncRNA (ENSCJAG00000069975.1)". The record is from RNAcentral. Lineage: Eukaryota; Metazoa; Chordata; Mammalia; Primates; Cebidae.
AUGUGUGUGUGUCUGCUCAGUGUAAGCCUAACAAGUGUACAGAUCCUGCUGUGCGUCAGUCAGGGCCCUGGAACAGCUUGUCAGCAUGGCUCAUGUCACAAAGUGUUUCUUCAAAGCAGUAAACACACACACAAUCCACAUUGUGUUUCAGGAAGACAAUGGUUCAAAGGGUCUGCCGGGCUAUUUUUAUCAUGGAAGUCUGGAAGGAAAAUGAUGUCACAUGCCGGGAAAAGUGUCCAGCUAUUCCAACAGACCACAGCUAAAAGAUUCUUGUUUUUAUUUGUUUCUCUGAGAAUUGAGAUCAUUCAAAAAAGAGAAGAAAUGUACAAGGAUUCUCCCAAACGAAUUCUGCUCUACUUCUUUCAAGUAAGGAAAAGCACAAAGAAGAAAGAAAGUCACAGAUCUUCAAAGGAACAUUGUCCUUAUCUGAGACUCACACUGAAGGAACUGCCACUAUGUGUAACAUUUCUGGAGCCGCAGCAAACACCUCACAUCAGCAAUGGAAUGUUCAGCCUGGAAGUGACACAUGCAAUUUGGUGGCCAGAUAUCUUCCACAGGUGUUCUCACAGAGCAAUGAGAACUCAACAUGGCAAGCAACACCAGUGA